This 502-nucleotide ribosomal RNA is filed under the name uncultured Streptococcus sp. RNAcentral's name for it is "bacterial SSU rRNA". It matches the Rfam family "Bacterial small subunit ribosomal RNA", at positions 32 to 507 of the family's 1533-position model. Lineage: Bacteria; Bacillati; Bacillota; Bacilli; Lactobacillales; Streptococcaceae. The record is from RNAcentral.
ACGACGCUGCGGCGUGCCUAAUACAUGCAAGUAGGACGCACAGUUUAUACCGUAGCUUGCUACACCAUAGACUGUGAGUUGCGAACGGGUGAGUAACGCGUAGGUAACCUGCCUAUUAGAGGGGGAUAACUAUUGGAAACGAUAGCUAAUACCGCAUAACAGUAUGUAACACAUGUUAGAUGCUUGAAAGAUGCAAUUGCAUCGCUAGUAGAUGGACCUGCGUUGUAUUAGCUAGUAGGUAGGGUAAUGGCCUACCUAGGCGACGAUACAUAGCCGACCUGAGAGGGUGAUCGGCCACACUGGGACUGAGACACGGCCCAGACUCCUACGGGAGGCAGUAGUAGGGAAUCUUCGGCAAUUGGGGGAACCCUGACCGAGCAACGCCGCGUGAGUGAAGAAGGUUUUCGGAUCGUAAAGCUCUGUUGUUAAGGAAGAACGAGUGUGAGAAUGGAAAGUUCAUACUGUGACGGUACUUAACCAGAAAGGGACGGCUAACUACGUG